Molecule: ribosomal RNA, 492 nt
Filed under: uncultured bacterium
Lineage: Bacteria
Description: partial 16S ribosomal RNA
Rfam family: Bacterial small subunit ribosomal RNA
Source: RNAcentral
AGUGAACGCUGGCGGUAGGCCUAACACAUGCAAGUCGAACGGCAGCACAGUAAGAGCUUGCUCUUACGGGUGGCGAGUGGCGGACGGGUGAGUAAUACAUCGGAAUCUACUUUUUCGUGGGGGAUAACGUAGGGAAACUUACGCUAAUACCGCAUACGACCUACGGGUGAAAGCAGUGGAUCUUCGGACCUUGCGCGAUUGAAUGAGCCGCUGUCGGAUUAGCUAGUUGGCGGGGUAAAGACCCACCAAGGCGACGAUCCGUAGUUGGUCUGAGAGGAUGAUCAGCCACACUGGAACUGAGACACGGUCCAGACUCGUACGGGAGGCAGCAGAGGGGAAAAUUGGACAAUGGGCGGAAGGCUAAUCCAGACAUGCCGCGUGGGGGAAGGAGGCCUUGGGGUUGUAAAGCCCUUUUGUUGGGAAAGAAAAGCAGCAGGUUAAUACCCCGCUGUUCUGACGGUACCCAAAGAAUAAGCACCGGCUAACCUCGUG